Molecule: unclassified non-coding RNA, 1848 nt
Filed under: Hevea brasiliensis (rubber tree)
Lineage: Eukaryota; Viridiplantae; Streptophyta; Magnoliopsida; Malpighiales; Euphorbiaceae
Source: RNAcentral
GAUUGGUUGGAUGGUGGGCUGGAACUUCACAAGAUGUUAGUGAUCCAUAUGGCCGCAUUAUUCGUAUAAGUGCUGAGCAUGGAAGAUAUGUCGCGAGAAGUUACAGUCCACGCCAGCUUGCUUCGACCGUGGAAGGGGCCCCUCUCUUUGAAAUAUUUCUUACUGUGGAUAAUAAAGGCGAAUACAGGCAACAGGCUGUUUACUUGAAGAGAAAGCCAGUUCAGCAAGAUUUACCUAUUUCUUCUUCAAAGCUGCCCGGUGCUUCCAGUAACUUGGACACUGUUGGUCCCACUGAAAACAAAAGUGAUAUGUUUGAUAAGAUCUCAGAUGCUGAGGAAGAUGGCGAAGACAGGGAAGACGAUUUUGGCUUUCAGAAUGCAUUGAAAGACAUGAUUCCAGGGGUACAGGUCAAGGUUUUGAAAGUGACAGCUCCAGGGAAGGUAGAUAGAGAUCUAAUAUCAAAGGUCAUUGAGCAAAUAAUGGAUGAGGAAGAUGAGGAUGAAGAGAAGGACUAUGAUUUGGACAGUGUGGAUGACGAAGAUGAAAUUAAGGUGGAAAGAGAUGGAGAGCAGAAUGUGAUUGAAUUGGAUACAGACAAUGGGGUUAGUGAUGGUGAAGAGCAGAGCCAAAUUGCAGUUAGGGUGGUUGUUGGUGGUCUCAUGCAAAAUUCCUCAAAUGGUGCUCAUCAUAAAGAUCUGCUUCGAGUACCGGCAAGGCUAGAGAAGAAGGGUCACCUGUCAUUUACUUUCACUAUAGAGGAAGAUGAGAACAAAAGCAAUUUCUCUGGCAGUGGACAAUCUCCCCCAAAUAAAAAGGCUAGGCUUCAAGGUCAACGUAGCUUGGAUCAUGUGAUGGUUGAUCUUGCAAAGUUCAUGGGCAAGGGGAAAAUACCUAUGAAGGUCCUUAAAGAUAUGGGAGAGUUGAUCAGCCUCACUCUUACUCAGGCACGAAAUCGUCAGCCAUUAUCAAAGUCAACCACCUUUAACCGCAUUGAGAUUUCAACAUCUCCAGACCCACUAAAUGGAUUAUAUAUUGGUGCUCAUGGUCUGUACACUUCAGAAGUCAUUCACUUUAGACGAAGAUUUGGUCAGUGGAAAGAAGACGGUAGCCCUAAGGAGUCUUCACGCUUAGAAUUUUACGAGUAUGUUGAAGCGGUAAAAUUAACUGGAGACUCUUAUGUGCCAGCUGGUCAGAUAGCAUUCCGUGCAAGAAUUGGAAAAAAGUAUCAACUUCCACAUAAAGGAAUUAUUCCAGAAGAAUUUGGUGUGAUUGCUCGUUAUAGGGGACAAGGAAGGCUGGCAGAGCCUGGUUUCCGGAACCCCAGAUGGGUUGAUGGUGAACUGGUUAUCCUAGAUGGAAAGUACAUUAAAGGAGGACCCGUUGUGGGUUUUGUCUACUGGGAUCCUGAAUAUCAUUUCUUAGUAUUCUUCCAUCGGCUUAGGCUGCAGGAGUGAACAUCUCUGUAGAUACAAUUUUUGGCUGUUUGUUCCUGGUUCAGUUCUUUGCAGUCAACAUGAUAUCUAGUACCACGAACCUUGAGCUGAAGAGAAGACUCAAGAUUUCGUUUGAAUAUGGAGUCCUUGGCAACUGACUGUUUUAGUGGCCAGCAUAAAACCUUUUGCAUUAUAUGGAACUAACAGCCAUUUUUGAGUUGAUAGCCCCCAAUAUCUCUGGUAUAGCAAAUGGUCGAGGCCUACUAGCAUUUUCUUAGGGCACUGAGCUUGUAUAUAUGCUCUUUAUUUGUUUUUUUUUCAGCUCUUGUAUUAUUCUUUUUUCUCCUUCAGUAAACAUUGUUGUACGUUCAAAAAACUUGGAAUUUAUUCUCUAAUAGAAUCCGAAGAUAGAACG